Molecule: transfer RNA, 74 nt
Filed under: Megaleporinus elongatus
Lineage: Eukaryota; Metazoa; Chordata; Actinopteri; Characiformes; Anostomidae
Description: tRNA-Pro
Source: RNAcentral
AUACACAGCAGAAGAGGUACUGAGCUCCGACCACUAACUCCCAAAGCUAGUAUUCUAAACUAAACUAUUUCCUG